This 492-nucleotide ribosomal RNA is filed under the name uncultured bacterium. Its description in RNAcentral is "partial 16S ribosomal RNA". It matches the Rfam family "Bacterial small subunit ribosomal RNA", at positions 30 to 507 of the family's 1533-position model. The record is from RNAcentral.
AUUGAACGCUGGCGGCAUGCUUUACACAUGCAAGUCGAACGGUAACAGGCCUUCGGGUGCUGCCGAGUGGCGAACGGGUGAGUAAUGCAUCGGAACGUGCCCAGAGGUGGGGGAUAACGCAGCGAAAGCUGUGCUAAUACCUCAUGUUAUCUGAGGCUGAAAGCGGGGGACCAAGCAGCAAUGUUUGGCCUCGCGCCUCUGGAUCGGCCGAUGUCAGAUUAGGUAGUUGGUGGGGUAAAGGCCUACCAAGCCGACGAUCUGUAGCUGGUCUGAGAGGACGACCAGCCACACUGGGACUGAGACACGGCCCAGACUCCUACGGGAGGCAGCAGUGGGGAAUUUUGGACAAUGGGCGCAAGCCUGAUCCAGCAAUGCCGCGUGCGGGAAGAAGGCCUUCGGGUUGUAAACCGCUUUUGUACGGAACGAAAAGGCUCUGGCUAAUACCUGGGGCUGAUGACGGUACCGUAAGAAUAAGCACCGGCUAACUACGUG